CUCUUUCUGAGAUCUUUACUUUUUCUUAUUUUCCUCAAAAUUCUUACGGUUUACGUUUUUCUUUGAGAAAUAACUCUCAACAUGGUCGUCUUAGCUGCGAUAAAGCUUGAUUUCUUGGCCUCCUUUUCUUUGGAUUUUAUUUGACACCUUCACCAAUGCCACACUUUUUUGAACAUAGGGAUUGCAUUUCUUUAGAGUCUGUACGAAAUCGAAAGAUUUUGAAAUUCAGAAAUCAAAGUCAUUUUGGGGUCGAUGCUCUUGCUAUGUUGGUAAUCUGAUGGGAAAGAAAUUGCACCCUUUCUUUUAAAAUAUAUUUUGUAGGUGACUCAGCUUUUGGAGAAAAAUUUCAAAGACGACUUCAUGGCUUUCGGAAACAUCCUACACAUCCUGUAACAAAUUUAUCACCUGUCCUAAUUACAUAUGAUCUCUGUUGUUGCCUUUCUUUUCAUAGAAAUACAAAAUGCUAACAAUUUCAUUCUCUUUGUUAUGAAAAACAAGGAAAAUAAAAAAUUAAUGGAUGCCUGAUCUCCCUCUCCCUCAAAUUGUCAAAUAAACAAAUAAUUGAAAUACUGAUGCUGUUUAACACACUUUCAAAGGUUAGUACUUGCCUGGAUGACUACUUAGAAGCAGGUAUUUUCAAUGUGUGAUUGUUGCAUAAUUUUUGUUUUCUGUAUUUAAUGUUUUUAUUGACUGUUUAAAAUAUUGAAAUUGCUUUUAUUAUUUUUCUGGUUAAACACAAAGUCAUUUGUAGGAAAUGCAGCUUGUACUUUUACCAUUAGACUUACUUUGUAUGUGACGUUAUUUAUUUUUGGGCUAAAUUUUUAUUUUAUGUUUGUUGAGUUUUUCUUACCAGUGUAUUACAAAAGAGGAUUUUGAGCUUACCAGAGUUACGCUGGUGGAUGUUAAAGGAGAGAUGGACUUCAUAUUACUGGUUUCUGCUUUCUUCUUCAUGAUUAACUAGUCCCCCCCCCCCCACCCCAACCCACUAUUCAGUUAUUGUAAUACUCGAGAAUAAGAAAACUAUAUACAUUGGUCAAUGUUAUGGGUUACGGGUAUCUUAUUUUCAUUAAUAACACUUUUGAUUGCCAUAGCAUACGGUAACACAAUUGGGUCAUCAGAUGAUAUCGUUGCUUACAUGUGAGUAGCCUUCCGGUAAAAAAGUAUCAGAUACAGUGUCACCUCAGAACUAAAGGAGAUACUCAGUUGUAUCAAAUGUAUAGCCAAAAGUGUAUAGUCUACCUCAUAAUGCCAUGCUCAUUAUCUGCACUGGACAUGGAGACACAGCAGUUGGAAUAGGUAAGUAGUAGUAUGGCUUUUAUAAACUGAUUGUUUUCCACUCUCUCUUUGCGUUUUCUUUUCCUCAUUUCUUUUUGGGUUAUGAGAGUGGACUUCAAAUUUUGUAUUGGCUAGUAUAAUGUUUUGAAGUCAAGUGAAGAAGUGCCACAUCAUACUACCUCCGUCCCAUAAGGAUAUGUUUGGUUUCCUUUUUUGUAUGUCCCAAAUUAUAAGUCACUUUCCUUAUUAAAAGUACCAUUAUUUAAUGUAGGUCUAAGAUGAAAAUUGUAAGAAAAUUUUAUAUUAUCAACUAUACAUUUUUUAAAUAUGAGUGAAAAUAGAAACAAGCUUAUUUUUAUGUGACGGAGAUGAUAUUAUUUAAUUUUCUUUAACGUUAAACUUAAAAUGUAAAUAAAAUGUUGCAUGAUAUAUCAAGAUGUUAACUUUAUGAUGCUUAUAAAAAUUUAGUACGAACCAUUAAUACGUCCAUGAAGAAAUAUAUAAGCUAAAUUAGGACUUUAAAGGGUUGUUUUAUUCCAUUCAUAAAUGAUCUUCAACAUGCUAUCUGUGUAAAGGGUCCAUCAUGUGCUGAUCCAACUUGGUUAGAGCAGGAAAAUGCAACUUUUUUUCUCAGAUUUUAGCCUUUGUGAUUAAAACUCAGUAUGCGUUUAAUUUUAAUAGGAGCGAUGCUUUUCCCGGUUCAGAGUUCUUUGAAAACAGAGGAACUCUUGAAAUAAUGAAUGGCGUUCAUUGGACCAUGUGUACAAAAAAUUAAGCAAUCUGCAGUUUGCAUGGAAAUCUUGCAAGGAUUUUAUACAGCAUUUUCCUGAAUAGAAUCUUCUUUAUUUUUCUCUUAAAGCUGAAGGUAAUGAAUCGAUUUACAAAUCCAAUCCCAAUGUCUUGAUUUCGGCUGAAUACAUCAUGUGCCCGUAUAUAUGUGUGGUUGAUUUUGAUAACGGUAGAUAUAUGAAAAUUAGAUUUUUAGUAGAUUUCGAUAAUAGUAGAUGAAAUGUGUGGUUAAGAAAUUAAUAAAAGUUGUGAAUCUCAUGAUAUGUGUUUUUAAAUUAAUUAUUGAUUUUGACCGAUUUUUAUCAAUUUUUUUAGCUAAACCAAACAUGGGCUUAAUACAUUGUAUCAUGUUAAUUGACUAUUAUAUUUGUAGCUAAUUCUUGAAGAUUACGAAAAAUCCUCUCGGAGAAAACGGAAACUUCAAUAGGCCGCGAGAAGCUUGUGAAAGCUUUGGAAGAGCCGCAGGCUCAAGCUGAAGUAGGAUUAUGUUUUGUUGGUCUCAAGCAUUGAAUUUACUUACAAUAUCUCUCUCUCUCUCUCUCUCUCUCUGUGUGUUAGGGAUAGAUUGUUUGGUUCAUUAGGACAAAUAUGUAAUUUGUCCAUUAUGAUGGGAACAAUGUUAGAAUGCUAUGAUAUGAUUUGUUGAAAUUAGAAGUUCUAUUUAAGAAGAUUUACUUCUUGGGUGUAACGCAAUUCCCUUGUGACUCAAAACUAUUAUCAUGUCUAUGUAAAUGUGGGACUACUAUUAGCACUUCUUUUUAA
RNAcentral lists this long non-coding RNA (2826 nucleotides) under Olea europaea subsp. europaea. Lineage: Eukaryota; Viridiplantae; Streptophyta; Magnoliopsida; Lamiales; Oleaceae. The record is from RNAcentral.